This is a long non-coding RNA of Limulus polyphemus (Atlantic horseshoe crab), 228 nucleotides long. RefSeq lists it as uncharacterized. The transcript is spliced from 3 exons. The record is from RefSeq and is a predicted model, not a curated record. NCBI's taxonomy places the organism in Eukaryota, Metazoa, Arthropoda, Merostomata, Xiphosura, Limulidae.
AGAUACCGGGUAUGAAAAUAGUUGUACCAGUUGAGAUACCGGGUAUGAAAAUAAGGGUAUCAGUUAAGAUACCGGGUAUGAAAAUAGUGGUACCAGUUGAGAUACCAGGUAUGAAAAUAGUAGUACCAGUUGAGAUACCGGGUAUGAAAAUAGUGGUACCAGUUGAGAUACCGGGUAUGAAAAUAGUGGUACCAGUUGAGAUACCGGGUAUGAAAAUAGUGGUACCAG